Molecule: ribosomal RNA, 333 nt
Filed under: uncultured soil bacterium
Lineage: Bacteria
Description: bacterial SSU rRNA
Rfam family: Bacterial small subunit ribosomal RNA
Source: RNAcentral
AGAUUGAACGCUGGCGGCAGGCCUAACACAUGCAAGUCGAGCGGCAGCACGGGUACUUGUACCUGGUGGCGAGCGGCGGACGGGUGAGUAAUGCCUAGGAAUCUGCCUGAUAGUGGGGGAUAACGUUCGGAAACGGACGCUAAUACCGCAUACGUCCUACGGGAGAAAGUGGGGGAUCUUCGGACCUCACGCUAUCAGAUGAGCCUAGGUCGGAUUAGCUAGUUGGUAGGUAAAGGCCUACCAAGGCUACGAUCCGUAACUGGUCUGAGAGGAUGAUCAGUCACACUGGAACUGAGACACGGUCCAGACUCCUACGGGAGCAGCAGGUGGGAA